This 212-nucleotide unclassified non-coding RNA is filed under the name fungal sp. RNAcentral's name for it is "partial internal transcribed spacer region". The stretch from base 1 to 46 matches the Rfam family "Eukaryotic small subunit ribosomal RNA", at positions 1786 to 1831 of the family's 1831-position model. The record is from RNAcentral. Lineage: Eukaryota; Fungi.
AAGUCGUAACAAGGUUUCCGUAGGUGAACCUGCGGAAGGAUCAUUACCAAAACAAAAAAUCCAAAAAACACACAACCAGUGAACCCAAUUUGUGCGAACUUAAACAUUCGUAUCUUUUACACACGCUUUAUUAUACAUUUUUUUUUUAUUGUCAAUUUUUUAUUACUAAAAAUAAAAAUAUACAACUUUCAGCAACGGAUCUCUAGGCUCUU